GUUGUGAGGUUAAGCGACUAAGCGUACACGGUGGAUGCCCUGGCAGUCAGAGGCGAUGAAGGGCGUACUAAUCUGCGAUAAGCGCCGGUAAGGUGAUAUGAACCGUUAUAACCGGCGAUACCCGAAUGGGGAAACCCAGUGUGAUUCGUCACACUAUCAUUAACUGAAUCCAUAGGUUAAUGAGGCGAACCGGGGGAACUGAAACAUCUAAGUACCCCGAGGAAAAGAAAUCAACCGAGAUUCCCCCAGUAGCGGCGAGCGAACGGGGAGGAGCCCAGAGCCUGAAUCAGCAUGUGUGUUAGUGGAAGCGUCUGGAAAGGCGCGCGAUACAGGGUGACAGCCCCGUACACAAAAGCGCAUGUGCUGUGAGCUCGAUGAGUAGGGCGGGACACGUGGUAUCCUGUCUGAAUAUGGGGGGACCAUCCUCCAAGGCUAAAUACUCCUGACUGACCGAUAGUGAACCAGUACCGUGAGGGAAAGGCGAAAAGAACCCCGGCGAGGGGAGUGAAAAAGAACCUGAAACCGU
This 526-nucleotide ribosomal RNA is filed under the name Salmonella enterica subsp. enterica serovar Enteritidis. RNAcentral's name for it is "partial 23S ribosomal RNA". It matches the Rfam family "Bacterial large subunit ribosomal RNA", at positions 1 to 559 of the family's 2925-position model. Lineage: Bacteria; Pseudomonadati; Pseudomonadota; Gammaproteobacteria; Enterobacterales; Enterobacteriaceae. The record is from RNAcentral.